AGAUUGAACGCUGGCGGCAGGCCUAACACAUGCAAGUCGAGCGGUAGAGAGGUGCUUGCACCUCUUGAGAGCGGCGGACGGGUGAGUAAUGCCUAGGAAUCUGCCUAGUGGUGGGGGAUAACGUUCGGAAACGGACGCUAAUACCGCAUACGUCCUACGGGAGAAAGCGGGGGACCUUCGGGCCUCGCGCCAUUAGAUGAGCCUAGGUCGGAUUAGCUAGUUGGUGAGGUAAUGGCUCACCAAGGCGACGGAUCCGUAACUGGUCUGGAGAGGAUGAUCAAGUCACACUGGACUGAGACACGGUCAGACUCCAGGGAGCAGCAGGUGGGAAUAGUUAGGACAAGUGGGACGAAGCCGUA
RNAcentral lists this ribosomal RNA (359 nucleotides) under uncultured soil bacterium. RNAcentral describes it as "bacterial SSU rRNA". It matches the Rfam family "Bacterial small subunit ribosomal RNA", at positions 26 to 386 of the family's 1533-position model. The record is from RNAcentral.